RNAcentral lists this ribosomal RNA (253 nucleotides) under uncultured bacterium. RNAcentral's name for it is "partial 16S ribosomal RNA". It matches the Rfam family "Bacterial small subunit ribosomal RNA", at positions 524 to 776 of the family's 1533-position model. The record is from RNAcentral.
GACAGAGGGUGCAAUCGUUGUUCGGAAUUACUGGGCGUAAAGCGCGUGUAGGCGGUUCGAUAAGUCGGAUGUGAAAGCCCCGGGCUCAACCCGGGAAGUGCACUCGAUACUGUCGAGCUAGAGUAUCGGAGAGGUUGGUGGAAUUCUCGGUGUAGAGGUGAAAUUCGUAGAUAUCGAGAGGAACACCGGUGGCGAAGGCGGCCAACUGGACGAAUACUGACGCUGAGACUCGAAAGCGUGGGGAGCAAACAGG